Molecule: ribosomal RNA, 271 nt
Filed under: uncultured bacterium
Lineage: Bacteria
Description: partial 16S ribosomal RNA
Rfam family: Bacterial small subunit ribosomal RNA
Source: RNAcentral
UACCUACGGGACGCAGCAGUAGGGAAUUUUCGUCAAUGGGCGCAAGCCUGAACGAGCGAUGCCGCGUGAGUGAAGAAGGCUUUCGGGUUGUAAACUUCUUUUGUCAGGGACGAAGCAAGUGACGGUACCUGACGAAUAAGCCACGGCUAACUACGUGCCAGCAGCCGCGGUAAUACGUAGGUGGCAAGCGUUAUCCGGAUUUAUUGGGUGUAAAGGGCGUGUAGGCGGGAAUGCAAGUCAGAUGGGAAAACUAUGGGCUCAACCCAUAGCC